AUCACUUGUUGGUAUAUUGUGGAAAUUAUAAACAAAGCUGCAUAGGCAUGACAUGCAUUAUUUUUACCUUCUCACCUGAUGAUAAACAUUUGCAUCACUUUCAUCCGCUCGAGUUUGGAGAUGACCAGAAGGCGCCAAAAUGUGGAUAAUGAAAUUAAACUGGACGUGGACGCAGGUCAUGAAUUUAUAUCAGCAAGAUAUUGGUGUUGAGGAAGCUGACAACAGCUCUCGGAGGUCCAGCAGAUCCUGUAGGACCCACACAGCAGAUGU
Coregonus clupeaformis (lake whitefish) is the source of this 270-nucleotide long non-coding RNA. RefSeq lists it as uncharacterized. Lineage: Eukaryota; Metazoa; Chordata; Actinopteri; Salmoniformes; Salmonidae. The record is from RefSeq and is a predicted model, not a curated record. The transcript is spliced from 3 exons.